RNAcentral lists this ribosomal RNA (433 nucleotides) under uncultured bacterium. Its description in RNAcentral is "partial 16S ribosomal RNA". It matches the Rfam family "Bacterial small subunit ribosomal RNA", at positions 29 to 507 of the family's 1533-position model. The record is from RNAcentral.
AACGGACGCUGGCGGCAGGCCUAACACAUGCAAGUCGAGCGGACCUUUCGGGGUCAGCGGCGGACGGGUGAGUAACGCGUGGGAAUAUGCCCUUCUCUACGGAAUAGUCCUGGGAAACUGGGGGUAAUACCGUAUACGCCCUUUGGGGGAAAGAUUUAUCGGGGAAGGAUUAGCCCGCGUUGGAUUAGGUAGUUGGUGGGGUAAUGGCCUACCAAGCCGACGAUCCAUAGCUGGUUUGAGAGGAUGAUCAGCCACACUGGGACUGAGACACGGCCCAGACUCCUACGGGAGGCAGCAGUGGGGAAUCUUAGACAAUGGGGGCAACCCUGAUCUAGCCAUGCCGCGUGAGUGAUGAAGGCCUUAGGGUUGUAAAGCUCUUUCAGCUGGGAAGAUAAUGACGGUACCAGCAGAAGAAGCCCCGGCUAACUCCGUG